Molecule: ribosomal RNA, 253 nt
Filed under: uncultured bacterium
Lineage: Bacteria
Description: partial 16S ribosomal RNA
Rfam family: Bacterial small subunit ribosomal RNA
Source: RNAcentral
UACGGAGGGGGCUAGCGUUGUUCGGAAUUACUGGGCGUAAAGCGCACGUAGGCGGCUUUGUAAGUUAGAGGUGAAAGCCCGGAGCUCAACUCCGGAAUUGCCUUUAAGACUGCAUCGCUUGAAUCAUGGAGAGGUGAGUGGAAUUCCGAGUGUAGAGGUGAAAUUCGUAGAUAUUCGCAAGAACACCAGUGGCGAAGGCGGCCAACUGGUCCGGUACUGACGCUGAGGUGCGAAAGCGUGGGGAGCAAACAGG